UUAUAAGAAAUCGUACCCCAAACCGACACAGGUGAUCAGGUAGAGAAUACCAAGGCGCUUGAGAGAACUCGGGUGAAGGAACUAGGCAAAAUGGUACCGUAACUUCGGGAGAAGGUACGCUCCUAGCGGUGAUGAGACUUGCUCUCUAAGCUGCCGGGAGUCGCAGAUACCAGGUGGCUGCAACUGUUUAUUAAAAACACAGCACUGUGCAAAAUCGAAAGAUGACGUAUACGGUGUGACGCCUGCCCGGUGCCGGAAGGUUAAUUGAUGGGGUUAGACUUCGGUCGAAGCUCUUGAUCGAAGCCCCGGUAAACGGCGGCCGUAACUAUAACGGUCCUAAGGUAGCGAAAUUCCUUGUCGGGUAAGUUCCGACCUGCACGAAUGGCGUAAUGAUGGCCACGCUGUCUCCACCCGAGACUCAGUGAAAUUGAAAUCGCAGUGAAGAUGCUGUGUACCCGCGGCUAGACGGAAAGACCCCGUGAACCUUUACUAUAGCUUGGCACUGAACAUUGACCCUACAUGUGUAGGAUAGGUGGGAGACGUUGAAGCAACCGCGCCAGUGGUUGUGGAGUCAAUCUUGAAAUACCACCCUUGUAUGCUUGAUGUUCUAACGUUGGCCCCUUAUCGGGGUUACGGACAGUGCCUGGUGGGUAGUUUGACUGGGGCGGUCUCCUCCCAAAGAGUAACGGAGGAGCACGAAGGUGGGCUAAUCACGGUCGGACAUCGUGAGGUUAGUGCAAUGGCAUAAGCCCGCUUGACUGCGAGAAUGACAAUUCGAGCAGGUGCGAAAGCAGGUCAUAGUGAUCCGGUGGUUCUGAAUGGAAGGGCCAUCGCUCAACGGAUAAAAGGUACUCCGGGGAUAACAGGCUGAUACCGCCCAAGAGUUCAUAUCGACGGCGGUGUUUGGCACCUCGAUGUCGGCUCAUCACAUCCUGGGGCUGAAGUCGGUCCCAAGGGUAUGGCUGUUCGCCAUUUAAAGUGGUACGCGAGCUGGGUUUAGAACGUCGUGAGACAGUUCGGUCCCUAUCUGCCGUGGGCGUUGGAUGAUUGAGAGGGGCUGCUCCUAGUACGAGAGGACCGGAGUGGACGAACCGCUGGUGUUCGGGUUGUAUCGCCAGAUGCAUUGCCCGGUAGCUAAGUUCGGAAUCGAUAACCGCUGAAAGCAUCUAAGCGGGAAGCGAGCCUCAAGAUGAGUCAUCCCUAGACCUUUAAGGUCUCUAAAGGGUUGUUGAAGACUACAACGUUGAUAGGUCAGGUGUGUAAGUGCUGCGAGGCAUUGAGCUAACUGAUACUAAUUGCCCGUGAGGCUUAACCAUACAACACCCAAGGGGUUU
RNAcentral lists this ribosomal RNA (1334 nucleotides) under Photobacterium iliopiscarium. RNAcentral's name for it is "bacterial LSU rRNA". It matches the Rfam family "Bacterial large subunit ribosomal RNA", at positions 1632 to 2925 of the family's 2925-position model. The record is from RNAcentral. Lineage: Bacteria; Pseudomonadati; Pseudomonadota; Gammaproteobacteria; Vibrionales; Vibrionaceae. RNAcentral also lists the same sequence under 1 other name.